GGGGAUAACACUUAGAAAUAGGUGCUAAUACCGCAUAAGCGCACAGGACCGCAUGGUCCGGUGUGAAAAACUGAGGUGGUGUAAGAUGGCUCCGCGUCUGAUUAGCUUGUUGGUAGGGUAACGGCCUACCAAGGCGACGAUCAGUAGCCGGCCUGAGAGGGUGAACGGCCACAUUGGGACUGAGACACGGCCCAAACUCCUACGGGAGGCAGCAGUGGGGAAUAUUGGACAAUGGGGGAAACCCUGAUCCAGCGACGCCGCGUGAGUGAAGAAGUAUUUCGGUAUGUAAAGCUCUAUCAGCAGGGAAGAAAAUGACGGUACCUGACUAAGAAGCCCCGGCUAACUACGUGCCAGCAGCCGCGGUAAUACGUAGGGGGCAAGCGUUAUCCGGAUUUACUGGGUGUAAAGGGAGCGUAGACGGCAUUGCAAGUCUGAUGUGAAAGAUUGGGGCUCAACCCCAGGCCUGCAUUGGAAACUGUAAAGCUGGAGUACAGGAGAGGUAAGCGGAAUUCCUAGUGUAGCGGUGAAAUGCGUAGAUAUUAGGAGGAACACCAGUGGCGAAGGCGGCUUACUGGACUGUAACUGACGUUGAGGCUCGAAAGCGUGGGGAGCAAACAGGAUUAGAUACCCUGGUAGUCCACGCCGUAAACGAUGAU
This 656-nucleotide ribosomal RNA is filed under the name uncultured bacterium. RNAcentral describes it as "bacterial SSU rRNA". It matches the Rfam family "Bacterial small subunit ribosomal RNA", at positions 139 to 813 of the family's 1533-position model. The record is from RNAcentral.